Molecule: ribosomal RNA, 253 nt
Filed under: uncultured bacterium
Lineage: Bacteria
Description: partial 16S ribosomal RNA
Rfam family: Bacterial small subunit ribosomal RNA
Source: RNAcentral
UACGGAGGGUGCGAGCGUUGUCCGGAAUCACUGGGCGUAAAGGGCGCGUAGGCGGCCUGAUAAGUAGGGGGUGAAAUCCUGCGGCUUAACCGCAGGGCUGCCUUCUAGACUGUCAGGCUUGAGCACAGUAGAGGCAGGUGGAAUUCCCGGUGUAGCGGUGGAAUGCGUAGAGAUCGGGAAGAACAUCAGUGGCGAAGGCGGCCUGCUGGGCUGUUGCUGACGCUGAGGCGCGACAGCGUGGGGAGCAAACAGG